CGUCUAUAUACGUAUAGCAUAUCAAUAAGCGGAGGAAAAGAAACUAACUAAGGAUUCCCUUAGUAACGGCGAGUGAAGCGGGAAGAGCUCAAAUUUGAAAUCUUCAAGGUUUUACCUUGACGAAUUGUAGUUUAAAGAAGUGUUUUCUGUUGGAGUUUUGGUAAAAGUUCUUUGGAAUAGGACAUCAUAGAGGGUGAGAAUCCCGUAUUUGACCAUUAUUUCCAGCUGUGUGAUACACUUUCAAAGAGUCGGAUUGUUUGGGAAUGCAGUCCAAAAUGGGUGGUAAAUUUCAUCUAAAGCUAAAUAUUGGCGAGAGACCGAUAGCGAACAAGUACCGUGAGGGAAAGAUGAAAAGAACUUUGAAAAGAGAGUUAAACAGUACGUGAAAUUGUCAAAAGGGAAGCGUUUGACACCAGUGUUGUUUUCUCGAAAAUCAAUCAAAAAUGAUGGGAUUUUGUGUUGUAUUGACUUUAUCAGCUUUCUGCACUUUUUUCUUAUCCUUUUUUAAUGCACUUUUCGUUUAACAAGUCAACAUCAAUUUCUUUUGUUGUAAAAGAGUCAUUGGAAGGUGGCUUUUUCUUCGGAAAAAGUGUUUAUAGCCUUUGGCUUCUGCAAUCGGAGAGAUUGAGGUCUGCAGCGUAGAUCCUUCGGGGUUAGAUACAUUUGUGCUAAGCUAUAGUUCUUUAUAGACAACUUGUUGACUAUAAUCAAUCCUGUAACUUACUCGCUUAUGCUAUUUUACCUACGCUUAGGAUGUUGAUAUGCAUGACUGAUAU
This 776-nucleotide ribosomal RNA is filed under the name uncultured Neocallimastigales. Its description in RNAcentral is "partial large subunit ribosomal RNA". The stretch from base 1 to 695 matches the Rfam family "Eukaryotic large subunit ribosomal RNA", at positions 26 to 664 of the family's 3401-position model. Lineage: Eukaryota; Fungi; Neocallimastigomycota; Neocallimastigomycetes; Neocallimastigales. The record is from RNAcentral.